GUUGUGUUUGAAAAAACGUCUCGUUAAUUAUAUCGUGACGUAAAUCAAGUGAAAAUCUAUAAAUAUUUGAACUAGAUCUUACAAAGAUUUAUAUUUUUAUUAAAAUAAUUGUUUCUCCAAUAGCUCUUUGCAACCAUGACAGCUGUUUAUUCGGGACAAUUAUAUAAUUUUUAAUGUAAACUUUGUUGUACGAACGUACAUGACUUUUAGAAUGCACCUACGCAUGUGAGAUUUCCGCGGCGUUUUGGUGAAUGUAAACAGAAAGAUACGAG
This 272-nucleotide long non-coding RNA is filed under the name Mytilus galloprovincialis (Mediterranean mussel). Lineage: Eukaryota; Metazoa; Mollusca; Bivalvia; Mytilida; Mytilidae. The record is from RNAcentral.